GGCCGUGUGGCUCAAUGGCAGAGCGUCUGACUACGAUCAAGGAGUAUCUAGCGAUACUAUUGUGUGUAAUCAGAAGGUCGCAGGUUCGACCCCUGUCUCGGUCA
This 104-nucleotide transfer RNA is filed under the name Metarhizium majus ARSEF 297. It matches the Rfam family "tRNA". From Rfam's summary of the family: Transfer RNA (tRNA) molecules are approximately 80 nucleotides in length. Their secondary structure includes four short double-helical elements and three loops (D, anti-codon, and T loops). The record is from Rfam by way of RNAcentral. Lineage: Eukaryota; Fungi; Ascomycota; Sordariomycetes; Hypocreales; Clavicipitaceae.